UUGCAUUAGAAUUAGAAUCUAACUACACUAAAAUUACCCCUUUUUCUAUACUACUCACUACU
This 62-nucleotide transfer RNA is filed under the name Nesticus carteri. RNAcentral's name for it is "tRNA-Leu". Lineage: Eukaryota; Metazoa; Arthropoda; Arachnida; Araneae; Nesticidae. The record is from RNAcentral.